AGAGACAGCAGUACCGCGGUAAUACGUAGGGUGCAAGCGUUAAUCGGAAUUACUGGGCGUAAAGCGUGCGCAGGCGGUUUGUUAAGACAGAUGUGAAAUCCCCGGGCUCGACCUGGGAACUGCAUUUGUGACUGGCAAGCUAGAGUGUGGCAGAGGGGGGUGGAAUUCCGCGUGUAGCAGUGAAAUGCGUAGAUAUGCGGAGGAACACCGAUGGCGAAGGCAGCCCCCUGGGCCAACACUGACGCUCAUGCACGAAAGCGUGGGGAGCAAACAGGAUUAGAGACCCGCGUAGUCCCUGUCUCUUAUACA
RNAcentral lists this ribosomal RNA (309 nucleotides) under uncultured bacterium. RNAcentral's name for it is "partial 16S ribosomal RNA". It matches the Rfam family "Bacterial small subunit ribosomal RNA", at positions 504 to 808 of the family's 1533-position model. The record is from RNAcentral.